This 203-nucleotide unclassified non-coding RNA is filed under the name uncultured fungus. RNAcentral describes it as "sequence contains ITS1, 5.8S rRNA gene". Lineage: Eukaryota; Fungi. The record is from RNAcentral. RNAcentral also lists the same sequence under 1 other name.
CUGAGUGAGGGUUCUCUCUAUGAGCCCAACCUCCCACCCGUGUUUACCUGUACCUAGUUGCUUCGGCGAGCCCACUGGGGAUAUCGUCCCUGGUCGCUUGGGAAGGAGGAAGCUCCAGCCCGGGCCUGUUGCUCGCCGGAGGUCUGAACUACGAAUCCUGAUAUCGAAUCGAAUUGAGUCUGAGUUAAUGAUGUAAAUCGUUA